RNAcentral lists this ribosomal RNA (250 nucleotides) under uncultured prokaryote. Its description in RNAcentral is "partial 16S ribosomal RNA". It matches the Rfam family "Bacterial small subunit ribosomal RNA", at positions 524 to 773 of the family's 1533-position model. The record is from RNAcentral.
UACGUAGGGGGCAAGCGUUAUCCGGAUUUACUGGGUGUAAAGGGUGCGUAGGUGGCGAGGCAAGUCUGAUGUGAAAGCCCGGGGCUCAACCCCGGUAUUGCAUUGGAAACUGUUUUGCUAGAGUGCCGGAGAGGUAAGUGGAAUUCCUAGUGUAGCGGUGAAAUGCGUAGAUAUUAGGAGGAACACCAGUGGCGAAGGCGGCUUACUGGACGGUAACUGACACUGAGGCACGAAAGCGUGGGGAGCAAAC